GCGCCCCUCGCCUGGCCACUAGCGGACACCGCCUGGGCGCCAGGAUCUCGGUGCGCAGCUGGGCUGCUGUGCCGCCCAGUCCACGCGCGUCCGUCUGUACCUCAGCCGCCGCCACCAGCUGCAUUUUCAAAGAGGAAGAGAGCAGGAAGGCUGCCAGGUGCCCUGUCGGGAGAGAAAUCAAAAGGCAAGUUGCUUGUGUGGACUGCCGAGGACAGAAGUGGUCUCGACGGAAGUCAGGCCGUGUUCAGAGCCAACAUACUGCAGGUGCGCUAGAGGGAGGGUGUUCAAAACAGAGAAAUCUGAGGCUUAGUUUUUGGACCGAGCUAACAUGUAUGUGGGCGGCGGUACCAAGACAGCAACGUGGAGGGGAAGAGCAUGUUCGCUCGGCACAGUCGGAUUCGAGAACUGCACGCUGGCACAGCAGCGGAGGUGUGGAUGGUACCAGGGGAUGGACCGCCACUGGUCUGUGCCCCGGAGCUGUGCCCCCUCUGCCCUGGGUGCUGGGCGCACCCACCUGCACUGGAGGGAGACAGGCAGGGCCUGGUAUUCUGCCCCCACUUGCUCCCGCCCACCAACGCCAGUCCUGGUGCCCGCUCUGCUCUCAGCUCCUGUCCCUCUCAGUGUCUGAGGCCCAAGGGGGCAACCCCCGGCCUCCGGAGACCUCCACCCCAAGGUGUCUCUUCCCAUGCAUCGCCCUGCCAGACCCUAAGGGUCACCCAGAGGAAGACGUCUAGACUGGGAGGACACGGGGCCCACAGCAGCCAGAGCAGCGCCAGGAAGCCAGGCGCUGCUAGGGAAACAGCCUUCACCUGGGCAGGGCAGGAGCCACGUUGGAGGAAGAAACAGCCCCCAGGAACCACAAGGAAGGUGCCUUGUGGGUGCGCGCACCUCCAGGGAAGACUGCACUGCCGCUCCGUGAGUGCCGAGGGGCGCAGAGACGUGCAGCCGUGGCUGGGGAGGGGCGGCAUGCGGGGCUCUGGUGCUGUAGAGGCUGGCGUCUUGGGGUUUGCAAGCUGCAGGGAGUGGGUCACUCGGGAGAGACUGCUGGUGCAGGAAGGGGUGCGCUGCCAGGAGGACGGGCCGCAGGACUCGGGACAGUUUUUCCUUUUUCCAGGAACAGACCUGACGGCGCAGGCAGCUGAUCGAUUAAUCUGGGGGAAGAUGAGGACUUUCUGUCACGUUCUCAUUUCUCAGUGAAGCCAGAAAGAUGAGGCUGGGAAGGGGCCUUUUAGGAACCCUUGGGGUGUGGGAGAGAAUCCCCGAG
Heterocephalus glaber (naked mole-rat) is the source of this 1264-nucleotide long non-coding RNA. The record is from Ensembl. NCBI's taxonomy places the organism in Eukaryota, Metazoa, Chordata, Mammalia, Rodentia, Bathyergidae.